Molecule: RNA transcript, 1961 nt
Organism: Lathyrus oleraceus (garden pea)
Lineage: Eukaryota; Viridiplantae; Streptophyta; Magnoliopsida; Fabales; Fabaceae
Gene name: serine/threonine-protein phosphatase PP1 isozyme 2
Exons: 5
Source: RefSeq, a predicted model, not a curated record
AACGUGUGUUCAUUUCGUAACCUAAUUAAUAUCAAUCCCCUUUCUUCCCACUGAUAUAUGAAAUUGCUUUCUUCUCUCUUGAUUGAAUGAAACCCAAACUUCUCACUCCGUAAACCUCCAACGACACCGUUUUGCUAUCAAAACGACGCUGUUUUCCUCGUCUUCAUCGUCAUAGUCGUCGUUUUCAUUCGGCAAAAAUGGAGCAAGCGGUUUUGGAUGACAUAAUCAAUCGACUCCUUGAAGUUCGUAGCCGUCCCGGGAAGCAGGUUCAGUUGUCGGAGGCGGAGAUCCGUCAGCUAUGUGCUGCUGCCAGAGAGAUUUUCUUGCAGCAACCUAAUUUAUUGGAACUUGAAGCACCUAUUAAGAUUUGUGGCGACAUUCAUGGUCAAUAUUCUGAUCUUCUAAGGCUUUUUGAGUAUGGUGGAUUACCUCCUCAGUCCAACUACUUGUUUUUGGGCGAUUAUGUGGAUCGAGGGAAGCAAAGUUUAGAAACAAUAUGUCUUCUUUUAGCAUAUAAAAUAAAAUAUCCUGAGAAUUUUUUUCUUUUGAGGGGAAACCACGAAUGUGCUUCUAUUAACCGAAUAUACGGAUUUUAUGAUGAGUGUAAAAGAAGGUUCAAUGUAAGGGUAUGGAAGGUGUUUACGGAUUGCUUCAAUUGUCUACCCGUGGCAGCUCUAAUUGAUGAAAAGAUUUUGUGCAUGCAUGGCGGACUUUCUCCCGACUUGCAUAAUUUGGAUCAGAUUAGAAAUUUACAGCGGCCGACUGAUGUGCCUGAUACAGGUUUGCUUUGCGAUCUCCUGUGGUCAGACCCUAGCAAAGAAGUUCAAGGUUGGGGAAUGAAUGACAGGGGAGUGUCAUAUACAUUUGGUUCUGAUAAGGUCUCGGAGUUUCUUCAAAAACAUGAUUUGGAUCUUGUUUGCCGGGCUCAUCAGGUGGUGGAGGAUGGAUAUGAGUUCUUUGCUAACCGACAGCUUGUUACAAUAUUUUCGGCACCUAAUUACUGUGGGGAGUUUGACAAUGCCGGUGCUAUGAUGAGUGUUGAUGAGACACUUAUGUGCUCUUUCCAAAUAUUAAAGCCAGCUGAUAAGAAAGCAAGGCUCAAUUUCGGAAGUACAACAACUGCUAAACCAGGAAACUCUCCAGCAGGUGUAAAGGUAGGAAGAUAGUUUAAUAUUUGCAGAUGCAAUACAUGCACAAAAUUAGGAGAAACAUAUUUUAUGGUAUGUGAGCCAGAAAUAUGUAUUUAUUUGUGAAGUUUAAUCGUCACGGUGAGUUGGCAAUUCCAUGCAUCUUGACGUUUUUUUCUCUCUUCUUGCUGUGACUCUAUUUGUCUGUGUAUUAUGGAGAGCAUAUAUUAAAUUAGAUAAAUGUAUGGUCAUUUUUCUAGAAUCUGGUUUAUUUUAAAAAAGUAAUUAUAAAAAUAACUGCUUAUCACGACAACACAGAAUUUGUAGAUAAGGUGACUUUGUUGAAGCACACUUUUGUUGUUCUGUGAUUUAUUUCAUGAUAAAUAUUUUUCCAGUGAAUAGUAUUGUAGUUUUGUGUGAUUUCCAUAUUAACCAUAUCUGGCAUAAUUUUAAAUUAUUGGAAUGAUCUGGGAUUUUAUGUGAUAGUCAUGCAAGAAAACAUUUGCGGCAUUGAAUUUAGCAAUGGAAAAAGCUACAUUCAUGGAGAUUUUCUACUGAGAACUCUGAAGCAGCCAAAGCCAUUGGUCCUUCCUUGGUGCAAAAGUAUGAAGUUGAUUUUGGCGAAAAGGUUGUUGUCACAGCUGGUCUGCGAAGGAAAGUUGAGCUGCGUAUGUUGUUUUGGAAUUGUAAAAACAAAGGGAAAUGCUGUCGUGAACUAUGUAGACCAUUGUUUUUCACUGUUACAAAUUUGUAUUGAGAUUUAACAGCCCAUAAUCUCUUCCCUGUUUUCUUUGUACACUAAUUUCUGGUAUAUGUUAUUAUGAGUUUUAAGCU